Molecule: long non-coding RNA, 259 nt
Organism: Passer montanus (Eurasian tree sparrow)
Lineage: Eukaryota; Metazoa; Chordata; Aves; Passeriformes; Passeridae
Exons: 3
Source: RefSeq, a predicted model, not a curated record
AUCAUGUGCCUUCCUCAAGCUUCUUCCGAUCAUCCUACAAAGUGUCCCAGGAAGAGUAUACUAAACAAAGGGAAAAGUAGCAUCAUGUGAACAGUUUGGAUGUGAAGGUGGCAGAGCAGAAAUGUGGAACAGAUCACAGCAUGCCUCAGGUUCCCCAGAUAUCUCCACUACUUAGCAAACAUAAGGGUGUGAAGGUCUCUGAGGAUGAAGCAUCACAACUGGGAGCAGACUCUGAGGAAGUGGAUGGCACCAACAAAUC